RNAcentral lists this long non-coding RNA (207 nucleotides) under Mytilus galloprovincialis (Mediterranean mussel). Lineage: Eukaryota; Metazoa; Mollusca; Bivalvia; Mytilida; Mytilidae. The record is from RNAcentral.
AAUUUGCACAGAAUAGUUAACAUGACCCUUAAAUAUCCCUCUCAACGCAAAUAAAAAAAAAGAGAAAAAUAAAGGAUACAAAAACAGAACAAAAAGACAAGAAAAAGAAUAAUAAACGAACUAAUCCAGUUACACGUACUUAUCAUGUGUUCCUGCGGCACUUUUUUGUAUAGUUAUGAUCAUAAAGCAAACAUUUGAUGAUGCGGC